This 447-nucleotide ribosomal RNA is filed under the name uncultured bacterium. Its description in RNAcentral is "bacterial SSU rRNA". It matches the Rfam family "Bacterial small subunit ribosomal RNA", at positions 328 to 792 of the family's 1533-position model. The record is from RNAcentral.
GUGCCAGACUCCUACGGGAGGCAGCAGUGGGGGAUAUUGCACAAUGGGGGAAACCCUAAUGCAGCGAUGCCGCGUGAAUGAAGACGGCCUUCGGGUUGUAAAGUUCUGUCGCAGGGGACGAAAAUGACGGUACCCUGCAAGAAAGCCCCGGCUAACUACGUGCCAGCAGCCGCGGUAAUACGUAGGGGGCAAGCGUUAUCCGGAUUUACUGGGUGUAAAGGGAGCGUAGACGGCAGCGCAAGUCUGAAGUGAAAUCCCAUGGCUUAACCAUGGAACUGCUUUGGAAACUGUGCAGCUGGAGUGCAGGAGAGGUAAGCGGAAUUCCUAGUGUAGCGGUGAAAUGCGUAGAUAUCAGGAGGAACACCAGUGGCGAAGGCGGCUUACUGGACUGUAACUGACGUUGAGGCUCGAAAGCGUGGGGAGCAGACAGGAUUAGAUACCCUUGUA